This is a long non-coding RNA of Musca domestica (house fly), 2344 nucleotides long. RefSeq lists it as uncharacterized. The record is from RefSeq and is a predicted model, not a curated record. The transcript is spliced from 3 exons. Lineage: Eukaryota; Metazoa; Arthropoda; Insecta; Diptera; Muscidae.
ACCUUUAUAGGACAAUGUUUGGUAUUUGACAAUUAAUACAUUAAAUCUAUUGUCCUGUGUCUUGUAAACGCAGAGUAAGGGCUUCCAUAGACAAUGCAAUUGAGUUAAAGUAUUAAUUGCAAUAUCAUAAGUUAAAAAUAUUUUGUUAUUUUAUCUUUGUAAACAUGCGAUAGUUUUUGUCAUAACUAGUGGUUGUUGUAAAUUGUUGGAUAAUGAUGGUUAUACCAAUAUAUUUUUAAAGUGAGAAUCUAAUUUAAAACGAACUGGAUAUAAGUACUUCGGAAGCGAAAAAAGAAUCAGAUCUCCUGGGAAACAAAUCCUGUGGAAGACAAAAAAGAGCUUCACGAUAAUGGUAAGGAUAUGAAGAUGCUGGAAUUCGUACAAAAGAAAAACAAAUAGAUGAAGCAAGAUUUACAAAAUAAGUCCGUUAAACAUUUAAAAUAUAAGGUGUAAAACGAUUGUUUUGUCACUGGUGUCAGACAGGAAAAAUAUUUAUCAGCUGUGGAAAUUGAAAUGAAAAAAAUCAAUUUCCAAAGCUUUUAUACUUACAAAAAGAAGACAAACAGCAAAUGUGAAGAAAUCUGUUGUUAAAUUUGACCAACGGAAGUCAAAAGAGGCGCUUAUGUCCACAAAGCCUAAACAAAGGAUUAUACUAAAAACUUACAAAUUUUACAAGGACUCUAAUAGUGGAACAUCACGAAAGCUUUUUCGUUUUUUGCUCCUACAUCUGCCGUUACUAAUGAUUUUGUUCCUUGUGAAUAAAAAGCGAUGGUUUUUCACAGAAACUAAAGAGGAUACCAAAAAAAUGAAUUAGUAGAUAAAAAUGUCGGUAGCUUCAUAAAAUUGAAUUUGCCACACAUAAAUGCUUCACCUCUAGAAGCAUCACCGAAAACUGUGUAAAUACAUGUACAUAUACACGACUAAAUAUGUUCUGCAAUGACAAGUAUUACACAAAUGUAUGUAUUUUUUGUUAUUGUUCAUUCUAGUGAAAAUUGAAAUAAAUGUGAAAAACCUCGCCAGUAUGUUUAUAUCAUUGAUCAAUUUACCUGUUUUCAACUCGUACCUUACUGACAAAAGUAUCCAUUGUUGACCAUUUCUAUAAAUUGUAACCUGGCGAUUACGCGAUGUUGAGCAUUAGCCAAGGGCAGGAAUGUUAAAACAAUUUCAACAUUAGAAAGAAACUAGAAAAAACAACUGAAUAUUGCUAAAAAACAAUAUAAAAUAAUAAACAAACACAAGAGAUCAGAAAAAAACAAAAUGUAUGCUUUUCAUUUAUUAUUUUGUUUUAUUUCUUUUAAUUGUCGGAACCUUUAUAGGACAAUGUUUGGUAUUUGACAAUUAAUACAUUAAAUCUAUUGUCCUGUGUUUUGUAAACGCAGAGUAAGGGUUUCCAUAGACAAUGCAAUUGAGUUAAAGUAUUAAUUGCAAUAUCAUAAGUUAAAAAUAUUUUGUUAUUUUAUCUUUGUAAACAUGCGAUAGUUUUUGUCAUAACUAGUGUUGUUGUAAAUUUGUUGGAUAAUGAUGGUUAUACCAAUAUAUUUUUAAAGUGAGAAUCUAAUUUAAAACGAACUGGAUAUAAGUACUUCGGAAGCGAAAAAAGAAUCAGAUCUCCUGGGAAACAAAUCCUGUGGAAGACAAUAAAGAGCUUCACGAUAAUGGUAAGGAUAUGAAGAUGCUGGAAUUCGUACAAAAGAAAAACAAAUAGAUGAAGCAAGAUUUACAAAAUAAGUCCGUUAAACAUUUAAAAUAUAAGGUGUAAAACGAUUGUUUUGUCACUGGUGUCAGACAGGAAAAAUAUUUAUCAGCUGUGGAAAUUGAAAUGAAAAAAAUCAAUUUCCAAAGCUUUUAUACUUACAAAAAGAAGACAAACAGCAAAUGUGAAGAAAUCUGUUGUUAAAUUUGACCAACGGAAGUCAAAAGAGGCGCUUAUGUCCACAAAGCCUAAACAAAGGAUUAUACUAAAAACUUACAAAUUUUACAAGGACUCUAAUAGUGGAACAUCACGAAAGCUUUUUCGUUUUUUGCUCCUACAUCUGCCGUUACUAAUGAUUUUGUUCCUUGUGAAUAAAAAGCGAUGGUUUUUCACAGAAACUAAAGAGGAUACCAAAAAAAAUGAAUUAGUAGAUAAAAAUGUCGGUAGCUUCAUAAAAUUAAAUUUGCCACACAUAAAUGCUUCACCUCUAGAAGCAUCACCGAAAACUGUGUAAAUACAUGUAUACACGACUAAAUAUGUUCUGCAAUGACAAGUAUUACACAAAUGUAUGUAUUUUUUGUUAUUGUUCAUUCUAGUGAAAAUUGAAAUAAAUAUGAAAAGCCUCGCCAGUAUGUUUAUAUCAUUGAUCAA